This 484-nucleotide ribosomal RNA is filed under the name uncultured bacterium. Its description in RNAcentral is "partial 16S ribosomal RNA". It matches the Rfam family "Bacterial small subunit ribosomal RNA", at positions 29 to 507 of the family's 1533-position model. The record is from RNAcentral.
AUUGAACGCUGGCGGCAUGCUUUACACAUGCAAGUCGAACGGCAGCGCGGGCUUCGGCCUGGCGGCGAGUGGCGAACGGGUGAGUAAUACAUCGGAACGUGCCCAGUAGUGGGGGAUAGCUCGGCGAAAGCCGGAUUAAUACCGCAUACGACCUGAGGGUGAAAGCGGGGGAUCUUCGGACCUCGCGCUAUUGGAGCGGCCGAUGGCAGAGUAGCUAGUUGGUGGGGUAAAGGCCUACCAAGGCGACGAUCUGUAGCUGGUCUGAGAGGGCGACCAGCCACACUGGAACUGAGACACGGCCCAGACUCCUACGGGAGGCAGCAGUGGGGAAUGUUGGACAGUGGGCGAAAGCCUGAUCCAGCAAUGCCGCGCGUGUGAUGAAGGCCUUCGGGUUGUAAAGCACUUUUGGCGGGAACGAAAAGGACUGGGCCAAUACCACGGUUCGAUGACGGUACCCGCAGAAUAAGCACCGGCUAACUACGUG